Molecule: ribosomal RNA, 479 nt
Filed under: uncultured organism
Description: partial 16S ribosomal RNA
Rfam family: Bacterial small subunit ribosomal RNA
Source: RNAcentral
ACGUACACUCCUACGGGAGGCAGCAGUGGGGAAUAUUGCACAAUGGGCGCAAGCCUGAUGCAGCCAUGCCGCGUGUAUGAAGACGGCCUUCGGGUUGUAAAGUACUUUCAGCGGGGAGGAAGGCGAUAAGGUUAAUAACCUUGUCGAUUGACGUUACCCGCAGAAGAAGCACCGGCUAACUCCGUGCCAGCAGCCGCGGUAAUACGGAGGGUGCAAGCGUUAAUCGGAAUUACUGGGCGUAAAGCGCACGCAGGCGGUCUGUCAAGUCGGAUGUGAAAUCCCCGGGCUCAACCUGGGAACUGCAUUCGAAACUGGCAGGCUAGAGUCUUGUAGAGGGGGGUAGAAUUCCAGGUGUAGCGGUGAAAUGCGUAGAGAUCUGGAGGAAUACCGGUGGCGAAGGCGGCCCCCUGGACAAAGACUGACGCUCAUGUGCGAAAGCGUGGGGAGCAAACAGGAUUAGAUACCCCAGUAGUCCCAUG